This 312-nucleotide unclassified non-coding RNA is filed under the name uncultured fungus. RNAcentral's name for it is "partial contains 5.8S ribosomal RNA, internal transcribed spacer 2, and large subunit ribosomal RNA". The stretch from base 1 to 52 matches the Rfam family "5.8S ribosomal RNA", at positions 103 to 154 of the family's 154-position model. The record is from RNAcentral. Lineage: Eukaryota; Fungi.
AACGCACCUUGCGCCCUUUGGUAUUCCGAAGGGCAUGCCUGUUUGAGUGUCAUUAAAUUCUCAAACCUCUUACUAGUUUACUCUAGUUUUCGAGGCUUUGGAUUUGGGAGUCUUUUGCUGGAACCUAUUCAUUAGGGAUCAGCUCUCCUUAAAUGCAUUAGCGGUUAACUUGAUCCCCUUUCAUUGGUGUGAUAAUUAUCUACGCCUUUGGAAUGAUCAACAGAAUGUUAAUAGCUUCUAGUCAGUCCCUUAGUUGGACAACUUUUAUGACCAUUUGACCUCAAAUCAGGUAGGACUACCCGCUGAACUUAA